AGCAGCCGCGGUAAUUCCAGCUCCAAUAGCGUAUAUUAAAGUUGUUGCAGUUAAAAAGCUCGUAGUUGAAUUUCGGGGUUAGUAGGUUGGUCAUGCCUCUGGUAUGUACUGGUCUCACUGAUUCCUCCUUCUUUAUGAACCGUAAUGCCAUUAAUUUGGUGUUGCGGGGAAUUUGGACUGUUACUUUGAAAAAUUAGAGUGUUUAAAGCAAGCUAACGCUUGAAUACAUUAGCAUGGAAUAAUGAAAUAGGACGUUCGAUCUUAUUUUGUUGGUUUCUAGGAUUGACGUAAUGAUUAAUAGGGAUAGUUGGGGGCAUUAGUAUUCAAUUGUCAGAGGUGAAAUUC
This 345-nucleotide ribosomal RNA is filed under the name uncultured Glomus. RNAcentral's name for it is "SSU rRNA". It matches the Rfam family "Eukaryotic small subunit ribosomal RNA", at positions 569 to 919 of the family's 1831-position model. The record is from RNAcentral. Lineage: Eukaryota; Fungi; Glomeromycota; Glomeromycetes; Glomerales; Glomeraceae.